RNAcentral lists this ribosomal RNA (633 nucleotides) under Triticum aestivum (bread wheat). Its description in RNAcentral is "partial small subunit ribosomal RNA". Lineage: Eukaryota; Viridiplantae; Streptophyta; Magnoliopsida; Poales; Poaceae. The record is from RNAcentral.
GUCUGUCUAAAUCACAGGUUGAUCGGCACAGUGGAGGACAGGGAAGGAGGAGAAGGAUGUGAGGUGUGUAGAAUUGGGCGCAAAGGGAGACGAUCAAGAUGGUGGAGCAGAAUCCAGAGGACGCCGGGAGACCAGAUUGCCGCACAGGAAACCUGCCGAGCCGACAUUGACGCCAAGUGCGGCGAUGCCGCUUCCAAUGAUUGUGAGGGCAAGUUCUUCCCGGGCUUUACCAAGAUCAACUAUGAGGGUCCAACUAGCAAGAGGGCGCUUGCUUACAAGUGGUAUAACAUAGAGGAAGUGAUUCUUAUAAAGAAAAUGAAAUGUGGCAUUCUGGCAUACGUUCCGGGAUACCGGAGGAGAUCUUUUUGGUGCACCUACAAAGAACUGGCCUUGGGAGGAUGGCAUGAAUUCCAUGGCCAUGGCUACGAGAACUCUGGGACUUGUUACUUAUUGAUAGAGCUGACAUGUGAUUUAACUGCUAAUGAGGGUAGUUUAGGUUUCAUUGUCUUUAAUAAUUUUUGGCUUGGCCGACAGGGUACUGCAAUGCUAUGGGUUGAUAAAGAAAAAAGGGAAAUAAACGAGAAAGCAAGACGGAAUUGGCAGAAUCACGACAAAGGACGUGCCCUGCAAUGA